Molecule: transfer RNA, 84 nt
Filed under: Leuconostoc lactis
Lineage: Bacteria; Bacillati; Bacillota; Bacilli; Lactobacillales; Lactobacillaceae
Description: tRNA-Leu
Rfam family: tRNA
About the family: Transfer RNA (tRNA) molecules are approximately 80 nucleotides in length. Their secondary structure includes four short double-helical elements and three loops (D, anti-codon, and T loops). Further hydrogen bonds mediate the characteristic L-shaped molecular structure. tRNAs have two regions of fundamental functional importance: the anti-codon, which is responsible for specific mRNA codon recognition, and the 3' end, to which the tRNAs corresponding amino acid is attached (by aminoacyl-tRNA synthetases). tRNAs cope with the degeneracy of the genetic code in two manners: having more than one tRNA (with a specific anti-codon) for a particular amino acid; and 'wobble' base-pairing, i.e. permitting non-standard base-pairing at the 3rd anti-codon position.
Source: RNAcentral
GCCGCUGUGGCGGAACUGGCAGACGCGUACCGUUCAGGUCGGUAUGGGAGCAAUCUCGUGCAGGUUCAAUUCCUGUCAGCGGCA